Long non-coding RNA from Pipra filicauda (Wire-tailed manakin), 335 nucleotides. RefSeq lists it as uncharacterized. The record is from RefSeq and is a predicted model, not a curated record. Lineage: Eukaryota; Metazoa; Chordata; Aves; Passeriformes; Pipridae. The transcript is spliced from 3 exons.
UUUUGUCUGGAAGAACACAGCAGGCCAGGUUAUGCGUGGCGUUCUGAGGAAGGACCCAGCUUCAGCUGUUCACCAUACCUCUAUACUGAACAAGGGCAGAAUUGCAAGAAUUGCAGAUUGGAGUCUUUUUCCUCAUGAGUUGACUUCUCACUGCAGCUGGUCUGGAAGAUAUUCUUCUUCCAGCACACUAAGGUGAAAGCUGCUGAAGCUGAUUGGUCUUGAUUGUUCAGAUGAAAAAGCUACAAAACUCAAAAUCUAAGAAUAUUUUGUACACCCAGGCUAAGAUGUGCAUUUAUCUCUACAUGGACCAGAAGCAAAGGAACAACAGGAAUUAA